This 775-nucleotide ribosomal RNA is filed under the name uncultured Neocallimastigales. RNAcentral describes it as "partial large subunit ribosomal RNA". It matches the Rfam family "Eukaryotic large subunit ribosomal RNA", at positions 22 to 610 of the family's 3401-position model. Lineage: Eukaryota; Fungi; Neocallimastigomycota; Neocallimastigomycetes; Neocallimastigales. The record is from RNAcentral.
CAUAGCGACUAUCGUGGCAUAUCAAUAAGCGGAGGAAAAGAAACUAACAAGGAUUCCCUUAGUAACGGCGAGUGAAGCGGGAAGAGCUCAAAUUUGAAAUCUUCAAGGUUUUACCUUGACGAAUUGUAGUUUAAAGAAGUGUUUUCUGUUGAAGUUUUGGUAAAAGUUCUUUGGAAUAGGACAUCAUAGAGGGUGAGAAUCCCGUAUUUGACCAUUAUUUUCAGCUGUGUGAUACACUUUCAAAGAGUCGGAUUGUUUGGGAAUGCAGUCCAAAAUGGGUGGUAAAUUUCAUCUAAAGCUAAAUAUUGGCGAGAGACCGAUAGCGAACAAGUACCGUGAGGGAAAGAUGAAAAGAACUUUGAAAAGAGAGUUAAACAGUACGUGAAAUUGUCAAAAGGGAAGCGUUUGACACCAGUGUUGUUUUCUCGAAAAUCAAUUAAAAAAGGCCGGAUUUUGUGUUGUAUUGACCUUAAAAGCUUUCUUCACUCUUUUCUUGUCUUUUUUAAUGCACUUUUCGUUUAACAAGUCAACAUCAGUUUCUUUUGUUAGUAAAAGGGUCAUUGGAAGGUGGCUUUCUUUUCGGAGAAAGUGUUUAUAGCCUUUGAUCUCUGCAACCGGAGAGACUGAGGUCUGCAGCGUAGACUCUUCGGGGUUAGAUACAUUUGUGCUAAGCUAUAGCUUUUUAUAGACAACUUGUUGACUAUAUUUAGUCUUGUGGCUUACUCGCUUAUGCUAUUUUACCUACGCUUAGGAUGUUGAUAGUCACAGCGUGUAC